RNA transcript from Jatropha curcas, 2119 nucleotides. It is a transcript of the gene named SWIB complex BAF60b domain-containing protein, with no coding region annotated. NCBI's taxonomy places the organism in Eukaryota, Viridiplantae, Streptophyta, Magnoliopsida, Malpighiales, Euphorbiaceae. The record is from RefSeq and is a predicted model, not a curated record.
CAAGCAUUCGACCAUAAAAUAGAUUAUUAGGCAUUCAACAUAUUGUUUCACGCGAUGUCGUUCUGGUGACUUCGUCAUAAUUCCAGAAAUGCCCUCACUAGGACACGAACACCUGGCGGUGCACCUGCACUGCACAAGAGACGCCGUUCUCAAGAAAAGAAAACGGAUAGCAGACUAUUUCGUGCUCUCGCUUCUCCAUAACGAAAAGUUUAACAUCACAACUUUCAUCUCCAGAGCAUCGUCGAUAUCGAAACUCGAAGAAGAAAUGGUGUCGGACUCAGACCUCGUGACCCGGCUUCGCGAAGUUCUCCAGGACUCUGACCUCGACACGGCCACCGCCGGCAGUAUCCGCCGAAAGUUGGAGGAAGAGUUCGGCGUCAAUUUAUCGGACCGGAAAGCUUUUAUUAGGGAACAAAUUGACAUUUACCUUGAAACUCUAGAGAACAACGAUAAGGAAGAAGAGGAAGAAGAAAAUGCGGAAGAAAAUAACAACGACGUCGUAGAAGGAGAAGGGGAAGAGGAGGACGGCGAAGAAGAAGAAGAAGAAGAAGAAGAAGAGGAAGCUGAAAGAAAAGAGUCCAAUGAACGACAAAAAAAAGUGAAAAAAAGAGGUGGCUUUACGAAGUUAUGCAGCCUUUCUCCACAACUACAAAAGAUUGUUGGAGUGACUGAAUUAGCUAGAACUGAGGUUGUGAAGAAACUUUGGGCCUAUAUCCGGGAGAACAAUUUGCAGGAUCCAAAGAAUAAGCGGAAUAUAAAAUGUGACCAAGCAUUUCGUGAUCUUUUCCGUGUAAAUUCAAUUAAUAUGUUUCAAAUGAAUAAAGCCCUGUCCAAGCAUAUUUGGCCAUUAACUGCAGAAGCUGAGAAUGAAAAACUGAAAGUAAAAGAUGAAGAUGGUAGUAAUUCUGUGUCAGAAGAAGAGGAAGAAGAAGAGGACCAAAGUGAAGAAGAGGAAGAAGAAGAAGAGGAAGAUAUGGAGAAAAAAAAAAAGAAAGGAAGGUCGAUUAAGGGGGAUAAAGAUGGUAAGAAAAGAGGCGGCGGCUUCACUAAAUUGUGUAGCCUUUCUCCACAAUUACAAGAGUUCAUUGGAGAGUCUGAAUUGGCCAGAACAGAGGUUGUGAAGAGGCUUUGGGCCUAUAUUCGGGAGAGAAAUUUACAAGAUCCAAAGAAUAAGCAGAACAUAAUAUGCGAUGAAUCGUUGCAUGCUCUUUUCCAUGUUAAUUCUAUCAAUAUGUUUCAAAUGAAUAAAGCAUUGUCCAAGCACAUAUGGCCACUAAAUGAGGAAGUUCCAAACAACACCUCAGAAAAGGAAAAAAGAAGUAAGCAACCGAGAGAAGGUUCAGAUGAGCCGAAGCAGAAAGAAAAACGGCAGAAGAAAGGAGCUUCUGGUCUUCUUGCCCCACUUCCACUCUCAGAUGCUCUUGUAAAAUUUUUUGGCACUGGUGAAAAUGAAUUAUCUCGAGCUGAUGUUGUAAAGAGAAUGUGGGGAUACAUAAAACAGAAUGAUCUGCAGAUCAAGCUUGGUUAGUUUCUAUCAGUAGAGAGAUUGACCCUGUUUGAAAUUCCAAAUAUGUACCCUUACAAUGAAGUCAAGCCACCAGGCUAAUAACCCAGUAAUUGGCUACCUUUCUAAAACCUCCUUCCCCUUGAAUCCCAAAAGACUUAGAAAAAUAGUAGACAGAAAGUGAGAUGACAGAAGUGAAGUUGGGUAUGAAGAGAAAUGGGAAGUACAAGUGCCUAAAGAAGGAUAUGUUAAAAAGAGGAAAAAAUUGAAAUCUGAGUAAAACCUGUUGAGUACAUGUGAAGUGCUCACAUCUAUUACUGAAAUCAGAAAUCAACCUGGGACCAGGAUCCAUCUGAUAAGAGGAGAAUCAUUUGUGAUGAUAAACUAAAAGAACUAUUUGAGGUUGACUCAUUCAAUGGCUUCUCAGUCUCGAAGCUUCUGACUUCUCAUUUCAUCAAGAUGGAACAGUGAGCGAGUUGUAGGUACAUAUUGUAAGCCCAUUGGAGGCAGCAAUUUUGCUAGAGUUGUUCAUACUUUCAAUAUGUGCCGGCAUCCUGUAUGCUUCUUGUCCAAGAAAUGGAAAUAGUUUUCAGAAAAUAUUUCUUUGUGCCAUCA